RNAcentral lists this ribosomal RNA (253 nucleotides) under uncultured bacterium. RNAcentral describes it as "partial 16S ribosomal RNA". It matches the Rfam family "Bacterial small subunit ribosomal RNA", at positions 524 to 776 of the family's 1533-position model. The record is from RNAcentral.
UACGUAGGGGGCGAGCGUUGUCCGGAAUCAUUGGGCGUAAAGCGCGUGUAGGCGGCCCGGUAAGUCCGCUGUGAAAGUCCAGGGCUCAACCCUGGGAUGCCGGUGGAUACUGUCGGGCUCGAGUCCGGAAGGGGCGAGUGGAAUUCCUGGUGUAGCGGUGAAAUGCGCAGAUAUCAGGAGGAACACCAAUGGCGAAGGCAGCUCGCUGGGACGUGACUGACGCUGAGACGCGAAAGCGUGGGGAGCAAACAGG